This 254-nucleotide ribosomal RNA is filed under the name uncultured bacterium. RNAcentral describes it as "partial 16S ribosomal RNA". It matches the Rfam family "Bacterial small subunit ribosomal RNA", at positions 524 to 776 of the family's 1533-position model. The record is from RNAcentral.
UACGUAGGGGGCAAGCGUUGUCCGGAUUUAUUGGGCGUGAAGAGCUCGUAGGUGGUUCGGUAAGUCGGAUGUGAAAUCUCCAGGCUCAACCUGGAGGGGUCAUUCGAUACUGCCGUGACUAGAGGUCGGUAGGGGAGUGUGGAAUUCCUGGUGGAGCGGUGAAAUGCGCAGAUAUCAGGAGGAACACCCGUAGCGAAGGCGGCACUCUGGGCCGAUACUGACACUGAGGAGCGAAAGCGUGGGGAGCGAACAGG